This 497-nucleotide ribosomal RNA is filed under the name uncultured bacterium. RNAcentral describes it as "partial 16S ribosomal RNA". It matches the Rfam family "Bacterial small subunit ribosomal RNA", at positions 28 to 507 of the family's 1533-position model. The record is from RNAcentral.
GAUGAACGCUGGCGGCGUGCCUAAUACAUGCAAGUCGAGCGAACGGACGAGAAGCUUGCUUCCCUGAUGUUAGCGGCGGACGGGUGAGUAACACGUGGAUAACCUACCUAUAAGACUGGGAUAACUUCGGGAAACCGGAGCUAAUACCGGAUAAUAUUUUGAACCGCAUGGUUCAAAAGUGAAAGACGGUCUUGCUGUCACUUAUAGAUGGAUCCGCGCUGCAUUAGCUAGUUGGUAAGGUAACGGCUUACCAAGGCAACGAUGCAUAGCCGACCUGAGAGGGUGAUCGGCCACACUGGAACUGAGACACGGUCCAGACUCCUACGGGAGGCAGCAGUAGGGAAUCUUCCGCAAUGGGCGAAAGCCUGACGCAGCAACGCCGCGUGAGUGAUGAAGGUCUUCGGAUCGUAAAACUCUGUUAUUAGGGAAGAACAUAUGUGUAAGUAACUGUGCACAUCAUGACGGUACCUAAUCAGAAAGCCACGGCUAACUACGUG